AUUGAACGCUGGCGGCAUGCCUUACACAUGCAAGUCGAACGGCAGCACGGGUGCUUGCACCUGGUGGCGAGUGGCGAACGGGUGAGUGAUACAUCGGAACAUGUCCUGUAGUGGGGGAUAGCCCGGCGAAAGCCGGAUUAAUACCGCAUACGAUCUACGGAUUAAAGCGGGGGACCUUCGGGCCUCGCGCUAUCGGGUUGGCCGAUGGCUGAUUAGCUAGUUGGUGGGGUAAAGGCCUACCAAGGCGACGAUCAGUAGCUGGUCUGAGAGGACGACCAGCCACACUGGGACUGAGACACGGCCCAGACUCCUACGGGAGGCAGCAGUGGGGAAUUUUGGACAAUGGGCGAAAGCCUGAUCCAGCAAUGCCGCGUGUGUGAAGAAGGCCUUCGGGUUGUAAAGCACUUUUGUCCGGAAAGAAAUCCUUGGCCCUAAUACGGUCGGGGGAUGACGGUACCGGAAGAAUAAGCACCGGCUAACUACGUG
This 486-nucleotide ribosomal RNA is filed under the name uncultured bacterium. RNAcentral describes it as "partial 16S ribosomal RNA". It matches the Rfam family "Bacterial small subunit ribosomal RNA", at positions 30 to 507 of the family's 1533-position model. The record is from RNAcentral.